UGGGGAAUAUUGGACAAUGGGGGCAACCCUGAUCCAGCAAUGCCGCGUGAGUGAUGAAGGCCUUCGGGUUGUAAAGCUCUUUCGCACGCGACGAUGAUGACGGUAGCGUGAGAAGAAGCCCCGGCUAACUUCGUGCCAGCAGCCGCGGUAAUACGAAGGGGGCGAGCGUUGUUCGGAUUUACUGGGCGUAAAGGGCGCGUAGGCGGCGAUGUAAGUCAGGCGUGAAAGCCCCGGGCUCAACCUGGGAAUUGCGCUUGGGACUACAUUGCUGGAGUUCGGGAGAGGAGCGUGGAAUUCCCAGUGUAGAGGUGAAAUUCGUAGAUAUUGGGAAGAACACCGGUGGCGAAGGCGGCGCUCUGGACCGAUACUGACGCUGAGGCGCGAAAGCGUGGGGAGCAAACAGGAUUAGAUACCCUGGUAGUCCACGCUGUAAACGAUGUGUGCCAGACGUUGGGGGGCCUAGCUCCCCGGUGUCGCCGCUAACGCUUUAAGCACACCGCCUGGGGAGUACGGCCGCAAGG
Molecule: ribosomal RNA, 521 nt
Filed under: uncultured bacterium
Lineage: Bacteria
Description: bacterial SSU rRNA
Rfam family: Bacterial small subunit ribosomal RNA
Source: RNAcentral